This 63-nucleotide transfer RNA is filed under the name Psammotettix sp. EMHAU-2015-Zz053036. RNAcentral describes it as "tRNA-Thr". The record is from RNAcentral. Lineage: Eukaryota; Metazoa; Arthropoda; Insecta; Hemiptera; Cicadellidae.
GUUUUAAUAAUUUAAAAAAAAAUAUUAGUUUUGUAAACUAAAAUUAGGUAAACCUUUAAAACU